ACGGGAGUGGCGUAAUUGGUAAACGCACCAGAUUUAGGUUCUGGCGCCGUAAGGUUUUGCGAGUUCAAGUCUCGCCUCCCGUA
RNAcentral lists this transfer RNA (83 nucleotides) under Homalodisca vitripennis (glassy-winged sharpshooter). Its description in RNAcentral is "tRNA-Leu". It matches the Rfam family "tRNA". From Rfam's summary of the family: Transfer RNA (tRNA) molecules are approximately 80 nucleotides in length. Their secondary structure includes four short double-helical elements and three loops (D, anti-codon, and T loops). RNAcentral also lists the same sequence under 1 other name. The record is from RNAcentral. Lineage: Eukaryota; Metazoa; Arthropoda; Insecta; Hemiptera; Cicadellidae.